AAAUGUCCGGGGCUGAAACACACUGCCGAAGCUCAGGAAUUAACUGAUGUUAAUUGGUAGAGGAGCAUUGUAUACGGGACGAAGCAGUACCGAUAAGGAGCUGUGGACUGUAUAGAAGAGAGAAUGCCGGAAUGAGUAGCGAGAGGAAGGUGAGAAUCCUUCCGGCCGAAUAUCUAAGGUUUCCAGAGUAAAGCUGAUCUGCUCUGGGUAAGUCGGGGCCUAAGGCCAGGUCGAAAGACGUAACCGAUGGACAACAGGUUGAAAUUCCUGUACCUUAAGUAAACAGAACUGUGGGGACACGUGUGGAGAGCACAAGCCGGAAAUGGAAAAGCCGGUGCAAGCGAGGUAGGAGUACAGUAGGCAAAUCCGCUGUACAAUCCGAAGACGUGAUGCGGACCGAAUUAAGAGUAGGGAAGUGUGUGAGCCAUGCGUCAAGAAAAGCCGCUAUUGUUUUACUUAAGCCCGUACCGUAAACCGACACAGGUGGAUGAGGAGAGAAUCCUAAGGCCGACGGGAGAAGCAUUGUUAAGGAACUCGGCAAAAUGACUCCGUAACUUCGGGAGAAGGAGUGCCAGCGAGAGCUGGCCGCAGAGAAUUGGCCCAAGCAACUGUUUAGCAAAAACACAGGUCUAUGCAAAACCGUAAGGUGAAGUAUAUGGGCUGACGCCUGCCCGUUCUGGAAGGUUAAGAGGAGAGGUUAGCGGCAACGCGAAGCUUUGAAUUUAAGCCCCAGUAAACGGCGGCCGUAACUAUAACGGUCCUAAGGUAGCGAAAUUCCUUGUCGGGUAAGUUCCGACCCGCACGAAAGGCGUAAUGAUUUGGGCACUGUCUCAACAAUGCACCCGGUGAAAUUGAAAUACCAGUGAAGAUGCUGGUUACCUGCGCCAGGACGGAAAGACCCCAUGGAGCUUUACUCCAGCUUGAUACUGGGAUUCGGUAUUGCAUGUACAGGAUAGGUGGGAGGCUAGGAAGUGAUAACGCCAGUUGUCACGGAGCCGCUGUUGGGAUACCACCCUUGCAGUAUUGGAUUUCUAACCAGCGACCAUGAACUGGUCGGGGGACAAUGUCAGGUGGGGAGUUUGACUGGGGCGGUCGCCUCCGAAAGGGUAUCGGAGGCGCUCAAAGGUUCCCUCAGAAUGGACGGAAACCAUUCGAAGAGUGCAAAGGCAGAAGGGAGCUUGACUGCGACACCGACGGGUGGAGCAGGUACGAAAGUAGGACUUAGUGAUCCGGUGGUAUAAAGUGGGAUUGCCAUCGCUCAACGGAUAAAAGCUACCCUGGGAUAACAGGCUUAUCACUCCCAAGAGUUCACAUCGACGGAGUGGUUUGGCACCUCGAUGUCGGCUCAUCGCAUCCUGGGGCUGAAGUAGGUCCCAAGGGUUGGGCUGUUCGCCCAUUAAAGCGGUACGCGAGCUGGGUUCAGAACGUCGUGAGACAGUUCGGUCCCUAUCCGGCGUGGGCGUAGGAUAUUUGAGAGGAGCUGUCCUUAGUACGAGAGGACCGGGAUGGACUGGCCGCUGGUGUAUCUGUUGCAUACCAAGUGCAUGGCAGAGUAGCCAAGCCGGGACGGGAUAAACGCUGAAGGCAUCUAAGCGUGAAGCCCCCCUCAAGAUGAGAUAUCCCUACGUAAGUAGUAAGACCCCUUGAAGACGACGAGGUAGAUAGGUCAGAGGUAGAAGUACAGUAAUGUAUGGAGCUGACUGAUACUAAUCGGUCGAGGGCAUGAUC
RNAcentral lists this ribosomal RNA (1728 nucleotides) under metagenome. RNAcentral's name for it is "bacterial LSU rRNA". It matches the Rfam family "Bacterial large subunit ribosomal RNA", at positions 1168 to 2925 of the family's 2925-position model. The record is from RNAcentral.